Lolium rigidum is the source of this 574-nucleotide long non-coding RNA. RefSeq lists it as uncharacterized. Lineage: Eukaryota; Viridiplantae; Streptophyta; Magnoliopsida; Poales; Poaceae. The record is from RefSeq and is a predicted model, not a curated record. The transcript has 3 exons.
GACUCCAAAAAGCAACAUGCAAUCUAUUGGUCAGAGAAAAGCUCAAGAUGAUAAAUACAUUUUUUCUCUAAAUGAAAGGGUUCUCGGGAAAAGAAUUCCUCCAAUUACUGAUGAAAAUAAAGGAAAUUUCCCUUGUUUCAAUCUAUUCCAAGAAGAGAAUGCAAACAUGUCUGGUCAUACCUAUUCCUCGCCAGGAUCAAAACUGAAAGCAAUUGAUCCUCUCUUACAUAUGGUCCUCGAUCAAUGUGGGCAAGAAAUAUUAGGAGGCCAAAGUAGUAUCAAGCUGAAAACUCCUUUCAUUCCUAGCAGCAAAAUGAAUAUGCAACAUGUCAUACCUCCGCAACAAGUUAUUUUUGCCACUGCAUAUGAGCAUGAAUUCUACACAAAACUUACAAGCUCCAAAACAGAAAGCAGCCCAAGAAUUUUUGAAAUUAAGAGAGUAUGGGUAGAUCAGAGAACGUUGGCGCUAUCUAUGAACCCAGGCGGUUGGAUACACCCGUGUGUAAUGGAUUGUUAUGGGAUGUUAACUACAACUGAGCAACUUCAUCGUAGAAAAGAAGGAAAAAUUGGGGAC